UUUCCCUUCAAAAUACGAAUAAAUUUUUCGCCUUUUACUAAAGAUUUCCGUGCACCCAGAGAAAUGGUAUAUUUGUUUUGUCUCAGAACCAACUAGAC
Small nuclear RNA from Leptopilina heterotoma, 98 nucleotides. RefSeq annotates it as U5 spliceosomal RNA. The record is from RefSeq and is a predicted model, not a curated record. The transcript has a single exon. NCBI's taxonomy places the organism in Eukaryota, Metazoa, Arthropoda, Insecta, Hymenoptera, Figitidae.